This is a long non-coding RNA of Ictalurus punctatus (channel catfish), 327 nucleotides long. RefSeq lists it as uncharacterized. The transcript has 2 exons. The record is from RefSeq and is a predicted model, not a curated record. NCBI's taxonomy places the organism in Eukaryota, Metazoa, Chordata, Actinopteri, Siluriformes, Ictaluridae.
CUUUGGCGGUAGUUUUUCGUACAGUAAUACAAUAACAUUUUAUGAUAGUGAUUCAUUCUCUUACUUCUCGCAGCCACCUCACAGCUACAGGUAUCUACAAGAUUCUGGAGAUCAUAACUAUUACUGAUAAACUUCUGCACUGGCUUCCCUUCCAGAAGAUCUCCACCAGUGAACAGAAUCAUGGUGAACUUCAGAGCUUCUUCUCCAAAGUUCUCCUGAAUCCACUUCACAGCACUGCUCUCCUCCACUGUGAACCUUCCCAGUCUGAUCACCAGCAGGAACACAUGAGAAUCAGGAGAAGACAUGGAGAUACAUUCAUGUGCAUGG